RNAcentral lists this ribosomal RNA (164 nucleotides) under uncultured bacterium. RNAcentral describes it as "partial 16S rRNA". It matches the Rfam family "Bacterial small subunit ribosomal RNA", at positions 355 to 511 of the family's 1533-position model. The record is from RNAcentral.
UAGGGAAUCUUCCACAAUGGGCGCAAGCCUGAUGGAGCAACACCGCGUGAGUGAAGGAGGGUUUCGGCUCGUAAAGCUCUGUUGUUAAAGAAGAACACGUAUGAGAGUAACUGUUCAUACGUUGACGGUAUUUAACCAGAAAGUCACGGCUAACUACGUGCCAU